CAAAGUGUUGGGAUUACAGGCAUGAGCCACUGUGCCUGGCCAACUUUUGUCUUUUUCUCUUUUCCACCCAAGGCAUAAAGACCAGAACCCCUAAUUCAGAAAAGAGUCGAUUUCAGAAGGGACCACCAAAGAAAGAAGCCUAAAAUCUUGGUUCUGGUGUGACUCUGUCACCUAUGUCUUCUGAGUAAACAUGAAUGGACCAUGUAAUUACUACAUAAACAACAAAAUAUAAAGGCAAAGAAUUAGUUUAAAUGUGAGAGAGGACACAGGUGACAUAUACUACAUUGGAUGCUUAAUGAGCCCCUCUUGGAUGCUACUCUUUCUUGAGUCAGCCAAGGAGAGAAGUCUGGCUCCAAACAAUUCGGUCUGCAAAGAGAUGGAUGAGCCAUUUCUUCAGCUAUAUGUAGAUCACCUGAAAUUGAAACCUGAGUGUUCUGUCUCUUAAUUUGCGGGUCACAGAAUCCCACUAAGAAUUGGAAGGACCUUAGCAGUCAUUGCAUGGUGCUCCUCAGUAAUACACAAAUUCUAUAAUAACUGUUCAAAUACCUCUGGGGACUUGUCAGGCAAGUGUGUUGCUCCCUUCCAGAAAUAUAAGGAAGCAAAGUUCUCUUUCUAGUCAAGCCAAAUACAGAAGAUGCCCCAUUGGAAUCUGAAUCUUGCUAUUUGACAGUGAUGAUGCUGAUGAACCGGUACUCCAAGCUAAACCAGUAUUUGUACUGCAGAUACUACUUGCAUGUAUUUCUCAAGCUAUAAUUUGCUUCUUAGGCUGCACUCCGAAAAACUAAUU
RNAcentral lists this long non-coding RNA (787 nucleotides) under Homo sapiens (human). RNAcentral describes it as "HSALNT0354475". Lineage: Eukaryota; Metazoa; Chordata; Mammalia; Primates; Hominidae. The record is from RNAcentral.